This 691-nucleotide unclassified non-coding RNA is filed under the name Hevea brasiliensis (rubber tree). The record is from RNAcentral. Lineage: Eukaryota; Viridiplantae; Streptophyta; Magnoliopsida; Malpighiales; Euphorbiaceae.
GCAGAGCAACAUCUUUCACAAUUUCAUUUUUGAAAAAAUUAAUUAAAGUUGGAUGAGGCUCAAGAAAAGAAAGCCUAAUUUAGUUCCCUAUUUUAAAAGUUUUCAGGGACUCAUCAUGAGGGUCCACAUCAGUGGCAAAGUCAAUGAUGAGCUUGUUUCGAGUACAAGAGCAUUGUUUCAAGAGUCUAGAAAUCUUCACAUUCUUCUUCGUGCCACUAAACCGAGCUAUGCACAUGGGUUGCAGUAAUAGCCCUUGAGAAUUCUUCUUGUUGAGAAGCUGCCCGCACGCAUGAGGGGGUGAUACUCACCUUAGCUGUAUUAUGAGUCACAUUCCAAAUAACGUGCAUGCACGGUAGCAUCAUCAUUGCUACAAUUUAAUAGGGAACCAUUACAGUUGGAAGGGCUGUUUGUCAUUGCUAGGGGCCAAUUCUCAUGAUAGCCGUUGAGAUGACUAGGGAUAGUCGAGCCGGCUUCAAUGUUGGAUACAUGCGUAGAAGUAAUACGUGCGGAUUCUUCAACAGAAGAUGAGGGAGAAGAGGAUUCUUCCACCUAAGGAACCAAAGAACUUAUGCUAAAACUGGGGAAAAUUUCAUAACAAAGAUGAAAUUUAACAUUAUCAACAUCCACACUAAUAACUUUGUGAAUAAACUCUAAGCAUGUGGUUGAAAUGAGAAUUCGAGCAGAGUCCAUU